This 29-nucleotide non-coding RNA is filed under the name Bombyx mori (domestic silkworm). The record is from RNAcentral. Lineage: Eukaryota; Metazoa; Arthropoda; Insecta; Lepidoptera; Bombycidae.
UUUGACAAUUUAUGUUUACUAGGUAACGC